GCUAGCGACAGGCUUAACACAUGCAAGUCGAGGGGCAGCACAGGUAGCAAUACCGGGUGGCGACCGGCGCACGGGUGAGUAACGCGUAUGCAACUUGCCUAUCAGAGGGGGAUAACCCGGCGAAAGUCGGACUAAUACCGCAUGAAGCAGGGGCCCCGCAUGGGGAUAUUUGCUAAAGAUUCAUCGCUGAUAGAUAGGCAUGCGUUCCAUUAGGCAGUUGGCGGGGUAACGGCCCACCAAACCGACGAUGGAUAGGGGUUCUGAGAGGAAGGUCCCCCACAUUGGUACUGAGACACGGACCAAACUCCUACGGGAGGCAGCAGUGAGGAAUAUUGGUCAAUGGGCGUAAGCCUGAACCAGCCAAGUCGCGUGAGGGAUGAAGGUUCUAUGGAUCGUAAACCUCUUUUAUAAGGGAAUAAAGUGCGGGACGUGUCCCGUUUUGUAUGUACCUUAUGAAUAAGGAUCGGCUAACUCCGUGCCAGCAGCCGCGGUAAUACGGAGGAUCCGAGCGUUAUCCGGAUUUAUUGGGUUUAAAGGGUGCGUAGGCGGCCUUUUAAGUCAGCGGUGAAAGUCUGUGGCUCAACCAUAGAAUUGCCGUUGAAACUGGGGGGCUUGAGUAUGUUUGAGGCAGGCGGAAUGCGUGGUGUAGCGGUGAAAUGCAUAGAUAUCACGCAGAACCCCGAUUUGCGAAGGCAGCCUGCCAAGCCCAUUACUGACGCCGAUGCACGAAAGCGUGGGGAUCAAACAGGAUUAGAUACCCUGGUAGUCCACGCAGUAAACGAUGAUCACUAGCUGUUUGCGAUACACUGUAAGCGGCACAGCGAAAGCGUUAAGUGAUCCACCUGGGGAGUACGCCGGCAACGGUGAAACUCAAAGGAAUUGACGGGGGCCCGCACAAGCGGAGGAACAUGUGGUUUAAUUCGAUGAUACGCGAGGAACCUUACCCGGGUUUGAACGCAUUCGGACCGAGGUGGAAACACCUUUUCUAGCAAUAGCCGUUUGCGAGGUGCUGCAUGGUUGUCGUCAGCUCGUGCCGUGAGGUGUCGGCUUAAGUGCCAUAACGAGCGCAACCCUUGCCACUAGUUACUAACAGGUAAAGCUGAGGACUCUGGUGGGACGGCCAGCGUAAGCUGCGAGGAAGGCGGGGAUGACGUCAAAUCAGCACGGCCCUUACAUCCGGGGCGACACACGUGUUACAAUGGCGUGGACAAAGGGAGGCCACCUGGCGACAGGGAGCGAAUCCCCAAACCACGUCUCAGUUCGGAUCGGAGUCUGCAACCCGACUCCGUGAAGCUGGAUUCGCUAGUAAUCGCGCAUCAGCCAUGGCGCGGUGAAUACGUUCCCGGGCCUUGUACACACCGCCCGUCAAGCCAUGGGAGCCGGGGGUACCUGAAGUCCGUAACCGCGAGGAUCGGCCUAGGGUAAAACUGGUGACUGGGGC
This 1441-nucleotide ribosomal RNA is filed under the name uncultured organism. RNAcentral's name for it is "16S ribosomal RNA". It matches the Rfam family "Bacterial small subunit ribosomal RNA". The record is from RNAcentral.